GGGGAAUAUUGGACAAUGGGCGCAAGCCUGAUCCAGCCAUGCCGCGUGGGUGAAGAAGGCCUUCGGGUUGUAAAGCCCUUUUGUUGGGAAAGAAAAGCAGCCGGCCAAUACCCGGUUGUUCUGACGGUACCCAAAGAAUAAGCACCGGCUAACUUCGUGCCAGCAGCCGCGGUAAUACGAAGGGUGCAAGCGUUACUCGGAAUUACUGGGCGUAAAGCGUGCGUAGGUGGUGGUUUAAGUCCGUUGUGAAAGCCCUGGGCUCAACCUGGGAACUGCAGUGGAUACUGGAUCACUAGAGUGUGGCAGAGGGUAGUGGAAUUCCCGGUGUAGCAGUGAAAUGCGUAGAUAUAACGAGGAACUCCGAUUGCGUAGGCAGCUUACUAAGCCAUAACUGACGCUCAAGCACGAAAGCGUGGGGAUCAAACA
RNAcentral lists this ribosomal RNA (426 nucleotides) under uncultured Lysobacteraceae bacterium. Its description in RNAcentral is "bacterial SSU rRNA". It matches the Rfam family "Bacterial small subunit ribosomal RNA", at positions 356 to 774 of the family's 1533-position model. The record is from RNAcentral. Lineage: Bacteria; Pseudomonadati; Pseudomonadota; Gammaproteobacteria; Lysobacterales; Lysobacteraceae.